RNAcentral lists this ribosomal RNA (377 nucleotides) under uncultured eukaryote. RNAcentral's name for it is "partial 18S ribosomal RNA". It matches the Rfam family "Eukaryotic small subunit ribosomal RNA", at positions 592 to 976 of the family's 1831-position model. The record is from RNAcentral.
CAAUAGCGUAUAUUUAAGUUGCUGCAGUUAAAAAGCUCGUAGUUGGAUUUCGGGUGGGAAUGGCCGGUCCGCCGUUUCGGUGUGCACUUGCUACGCCCACCUUGCUGCCGGGGACGUGCUCUUGAGUUCACGCUCGGUACACGGAGUCGGCGAGGUUACUUUGAGUAAAUUAGAGUGUUCAAAGCAGGCCUACGCUCUGAAUACAUUAGCAUGGAAUAACACGAUAGGACUCUGGCCUAUCUUGUUGGUCUGUAGGACCGGAGUAAUGAUUAAGAGGGACAGUCGGGGGCAUUCGUAUUUCAUUGUCAGAGGUGAAAUUCUUGGAUUUAUGAAAGACGAACUACUGCGAAAGCAUUUGCCAAGGAUGUUUUCAUUAA